RNAcentral lists this long non-coding RNA (230 nucleotides) under Elaeis guineensis (African oil palm). RNAcentral's name for it is "long non-coding RNA (EGUI_LNC081715)". Lineage: Eukaryota; Viridiplantae; Streptophyta; Magnoliopsida; Arecales; Arecaceae. The record is from RNAcentral.
ACUAUGCUAGAUCUAAUAAAUAUCAUAGCUAGAGGCAUCAGAAGAGUCAGAGAUAUGAUGUGGAGUCUCAGGAUCAAAGUCACGGGCACGUCCUCGACCAUGUCUACCUCGACCACGAGUAGAAGUAUCAGCAUGAGCAGAAGGAUGAGAAGGUCUUGAAGCCUGGGAAGAUAUGGAUUGUGCUAGGAGAGUAAGUCUGAUGGUGUCCAAUUAUUCCAAAGCUCUCGACA